This 406-nucleotide ribosomal RNA is filed under the name uncultured bacterium. RNAcentral's name for it is "partial 16S ribosomal RNA". It matches the Rfam family "Bacterial small subunit ribosomal RNA", at positions 30 to 526 of the family's 1533-position model. The record is from RNAcentral.
AUUGAACGCUGGCGGCAGGCCUAACACAUGCAAGUCGAGCGAGUGGCGGACGGGUGAGUAAUGUCUGGGACACUGCCCGAUGGAGGGGGAUAACUACUGGAAACGGUAGCUAAUACCGCAUACCAUCGGAUGUGCCCAGAUGGUAUUAGCUAGUAGGUGGGGUAACGGCUCACCUAGGCGACGAUCCCUAGCUGGUCUGAGAGGAUGACCAGCCAACCGAGAACUGAGACACGGUCCAGACUCCUACGGUAGGCAGCAGUGGGGAAUAUUGCACAAUGGGCGCAAGCCUGAUGCAGCCAUGCCGCGUGUAUGAAGAAGGCCUUCGGGUUGUAAAGCACUUUCAGCGAGGAGGCGUUACUCGCAGAAGAAGCACCGGCUAACUCCGUGCCAGCAGCCGCGGUAAUUC